CCAGACUCCUACGGGAGGCAGCAGUGGGGAAUAUUGCACAAUGGGGGAAACCCUGAUGCAGCGACGCCGCGUGGAGGAAGAAGGUCUUCGGAUUGUAAACUCCUGUUGUUGAGAAAGAUAAUGACGGUACUCAACAAGGAAGUGACGGCUAACUACGUGC
Molecule: ribosomal RNA, 160 nt
Filed under: uncultured bacterium
Lineage: Bacteria
Description: partial 16S ribosomal RNA
Rfam family: Bacterial small subunit ribosomal RNA
Source: RNAcentral